RNAcentral lists this long non-coding RNA (1141 nucleotides) under Phoenix dactylifera (date palm). RNAcentral describes it as "long non-coding RNA (PDAC_LNC002617)". Lineage: Eukaryota; Viridiplantae; Streptophyta; Magnoliopsida; Arecales; Arecaceae. The record is from RNAcentral.
AUGGUGGUUGGAUGAAGUACUUUGUUGAUUUAUUGUGAGACUUUAAUUUUGUUCUGGGGAUUAUUGUGCUGUUAUGGAAUUCAUGUAACUAGGUCCAGUUGUAAGCUUUGGAUCCACUAUUUAUGGGUUCAACAGAUGUAGCAUGGGUUGCGUUAUGUGCUUCAGUGUUGGUUCAUCUACAGUGUUCAUACAUGGAUGUGAGUUGUGAUUUGGUGGUCCAUUUUAAUAUUGCAAGUGGUUCAUUUUGAGUCAUUGUGAUCUAUCACUACAAACUACUUUCAUGCAUGUGGCCGGCUUCUUAGAUGGAUGCUGUAAGCUGCUACAAAUUAUUGAUAAACUGUAGGGAAGAUUUGAAUAAGUCUCCUUAAGAGAUGUUAGGUUUGCUUAGAUUUUGUUAGAAGUUUGAAUUAUUCUAAGUUGUUUUUAUUUCCAAGCCUUAGGGGAUUUUCUUGGCUAUCAGUUACUGAGUUUUAGAAGCUGUAAUAAAUUAGGCAUGAUUUAAUCAGAGAAAAUCUUAGUUGCACUGUGAUUCCAUGAUUUGCCAAUAGGAUAUGUGCUUGGUCUUGGUGAAUGAUGAAAGAAUUAGAAUCUGGUUUACUUUGAUAUAAAUUGUCAGAAAAAGCAUAAAGAACCAUUAGUGACUCCUAGUUUGUGCCCUUGUUUUGUAGUGUGCAACAUUUUCUACUAUAGAUUAAUAUUUAUUCGUUUCUUUGGGAUUUAUAUUAAAACACAUAAAAGAUGGUGGUUGGAUGAAGUACUUUUUUGAUUUGUGAGACUUCAAUUUUGUUCUGGGGAUUAUUGUGCUGUUAUGGAAUUUAUGUAACUAGGUCCAGUUGUAAGCUUUGGACCCACUAUUCGUGGGUUCAACAGACGUAGCUUGGGUUGCGUUAUGUGCUUCUCUGUUGCUCCACCUAAGUGUUGGUCCAUGGAUGUGAGUUGUCAUUUGGUGGUCCAUUUUAAUAUUGCAAGUGGUUCAUUUUGAGUCAUUGUGAUCUAUCACUACGAACUACUUUCAUGCAUGUGGCCAGCUUCUUGAAUGGAUGCUGUAAGCUGCUACAAAUUCUUGAUAAACUGUAGGGAUGAUUUGAAUAAGUCUCCUUAAGAGAUGUUAGGUUUGCUUAGAUUUUGUUAGAAGUUUGAA